GUGGUGCUGAUUGUGUUUUCACGUGUGGCACCUGAAUCAUUGCCCUUUGAACUCUGUUGGAGGCCACUUUGUUUGUCAGUGAAGCCACUGAAGGAAACCACAUAAUGGGAUUUAUUGGUCCAAGCUUCUACAUCCGUCAGAUUGGAACCACCAAUACAAGAACUGGAAUAAAGAGCCACCACAGGUUCUUGGAACAUGAAGACCUGCAUACAACAAGAGGCGGCACAUCUCGUGGGCAUUAAGCUCCUGGUUGCACCUCGGACCACAAUGGACCACCGAGCGUGUCCGUUGCCUCCAUGCUUGAUCUCACAGCGACAGAGAGCCUGGCUCCAGUUGGACUAAACGCGCGCCGACACUUGACUGCCCGUCUCCUCUCCUCACGGCUGUGCGCGUGCCUCCACUCAGAAGACGAGCAGGAGAAGCGCUCAAAUAAAAGACACGGACACUCUGAAUGAAAGAUAAGGAAGGAAGGAGGAUGUUGCUAUAAAACAAGAGGGGGGCAUCUCAAACUGCUGCGGACUAAACGGAUGUCUUCACUGGUGAGUGAACCUGCUUCUGUGAAAUGUGAAUAUCUGGUGCGUCCUUGCAUCCCUGGCACGGCUGGUCAGUGGAGGGAGGGAGGGAGAUCCGAGCUCUUGUUGUAGUUGUGUGUGAGGGGGGAAUUGAAAGUUGGUGACAGGGGAGCGACAGUGAAAACAGACGCUUUUGGAUGAAAAUGAAAGUUUGAGGGAAAUCUAGUUUUUGGAGAGACAAUGGAGAAUAAGACAGGUACUGAGGGGUUGGGGUGCUGAAAAAUAAGUGUGUGCAACAUCAUAAUGCAACCUAUACAUAAGGAAAUGCACAGAAUGUGUUGUAUUGCAGUGGAUGAAGAGGUUGGGUGUUCGUGGGUAUGCGUAUUUACGCAUCCGAGCGUCUAAGGCGCAGUAAAAACGCCAAAAUAAAGUGAUUUACUGCAGUUUAA
Notolabrus celidotus (New Zealand spotty) is the source of this 961-nucleotide long non-coding RNA. RefSeq lists it as uncharacterized. The transcript has 3 exons. The record is from RefSeq and is a predicted model, not a curated record. Lineage: Eukaryota; Metazoa; Chordata; Actinopteri; Labriformes; Labridae.